RNAcentral lists this long non-coding RNA (705 nucleotides) under Cottoperca gobio. Its description in RNAcentral is "lncRNA (ENSCGOG00000024490.1)". The record is from RNAcentral. Lineage: Eukaryota; Metazoa; Chordata; Actinopteri; Perciformes; Bovichtidae.
UUUUAAAUUAGGCCUAUUUUUAUUUUUGAAAGGUUAAAAAUAUGGAAUAAUUUCUGGAAAAUAUUUAAACGGGAGGACAGCGGGAUAGAAGUAAAAAUACGGGAUAAUCCCGGGAAAACGUGAGUGUUGACAGGUAUGGUGGUCAUCCUGUAUGGAUCCAAGCAUUAAACUGCACAACAAAAACUGGAGAGUUGACAUUUCAGGGUUAAACAUUUCCGAGUUGAUUUCAACUCAAGAAGUGUUACUUUAACAUUUUCUGAUUGAAAUGUUUUUUAUGGUUGGAGUUAUUUCACUGUUCAUCAUGUCAGAGUUAGACCAACUCUGCAGAGACGUGAUUAAGCUCCGCCCCUGUAUUUCACCGCUUCGGUUGGAGACGAGUCCACGAUAAAUCAGCUCGAUUUUCUCUCCUCAUGCAGUUGACAGGGGCGGCUUAACAUCAGCGAGACCCCAACAAAACGUGUCUCAACAGGCAUACAGUGGCUCACUUGUUGAACUUGUCUAGUUGUCCUAAAAAUGUUGGUCCAGGUGAAGUACAGACAACAGCAGAAGUAUGUGAAAUUGGAUGCAGUUGAAGGACAGUUUGACUUUCUACAAUUCAAUGAAAAAGGUGGAUCAAGACUUCACCCUCUAUUUGAUCAUGAAACAUCCUCCAGGCUCCUUCAGAAAUGGGAUGUGUUCUUCAGUCCAAAUGUCAUAAGAGGCUAA